UACGAAGGGGGCUAGCGUUGCUCGGAAUGACUGGGCGUAAAGGGCGCGUAGGCGGCGGACACAGUCAGAUGUGAAAUUCCCGGGCUCAACCUGGGGGCUGCAUUUGAUACGUGUUUGCUUGAGUGGGGAAGAGGGUCGUGGAAUUCCCAGUGUAGAGGUGAAAUUCGUAGAUAUUGGGAAGAACACCGGUGGCGAAGGCGGCGACCUGGUCCGAUACUGACGCUGAGGUGCGAAAGCGUGGGGAGCAAACAGG
Molecule: ribosomal RNA, 253 nt
Filed under: uncultured bacterium
Lineage: Bacteria
Description: partial 16S ribosomal RNA
Rfam family: Bacterial small subunit ribosomal RNA
Source: RNAcentral